This 253-nucleotide ribosomal RNA is filed under the name uncultured bacterium. RNAcentral's name for it is "partial 16S ribosomal RNA". It matches the Rfam family "Bacterial small subunit ribosomal RNA", at positions 524 to 776 of the family's 1533-position model. The record is from RNAcentral.
UACGUAGGGUGCAAGCGUUGUCCGGAAUUAUUGGGCGUAAAGAGCUCGUAGGCGGCUUGUCACGUCGGCUGUGAAAACCUGGGGCUCAACCCCGGGCCUGCAGCCGAUACGGGCAAGCUAGAAUUCGGUAGGGGAGACUGGAAUUCCUGGUGUAGCGGUGAAAUGCGCAGAUAUCAGGAGGAACACCGGUGGCGAAGGCGGCUUGCUGGGCCAGUUCUGACGCUGAGGAGCGAAAGCGUGGGGAGCGAACAGG